AACGCCGCGUGAGUGAGGAAGGUCUUCGGAUUGUAAAACUCUUUUAUUUGGGAAAAAUUGCUUAGUGGUUAAUACCCAUUAAGUUUGAUGGUACCAAAGGAAUAAGCACCGGCUAACUUCGUGCCAGCACCUGCGGUGACUGAGCGGGCUGGCAAGGCGCAUA
This 163-nucleotide ribosomal RNA is filed under the name uncultured bacterium. RNAcentral describes it as "partial 16S ribosomal RNA". It matches the Rfam family "Bacterial small subunit ribosomal RNA", at positions 393 to 539 of the family's 1533-position model. The record is from RNAcentral.